Molecule: non-coding RNA, 23 nt
Filed under: Rattus norvegicus (Norway rat)
Lineage: Eukaryota; Metazoa; Chordata; Mammalia; Rodentia; Muridae
Source: RNAcentral
UGGACUACGGAUCCAGGGGAGGG